UUUGGCCAUUUUGGGUUCAGACAAGAUGGGAGAACUGGAACUGUGGUACGUAGCUUUCUCCCCAUCAGCAAGCGGAGUGGCCCGAUAUGUCAUGAGGGCCAUGUAUGGGUCAGCGCAUUUUUUCAGGAGGUCCUUCACAGUUCUUACUGCUUUUUCAGCCUCCCCAUUGCAUUGCGGAUAUCUGGGGCUGGAGGUAGUGUGAACAAAACCCCACUCUGAGGCGAACUCUCGGAAGAGGUCUGCACUGAAUGUCUGCCAUUGUCACUCCAUACCUCCCGAGCAAUGCCAUGACAUGAUGUUUUCUUUAUUUUUUUUUUUUCUUCAGUUUUUUUUUUUUCCUUUUUUUUUGCCUGGCACCUCUGUCUGGAUGAGCUACUCUUAGUCUGGUCCCUCCCCCAGGACCUGUUUGCCUUGGGUAACCUUUCAGAGGCAUAAAGCCCUGACAACAUAGCUCCUGGGAUCAUUGGGACACACAAACCCCUCCACCACGGUAAGGUGGUAGCUCAAGGAGGGGAAAAAACCCUCACAUGGGAGGGAAAAACCCAAAAAGGGGUUUUUUUUCUGUGCAAAACACCCGGUUUAGGGUGUUUUUUUUUUCAGAAAUACUUUUCUUUUUUUUUUUGUUUCCUAUAGUUCUUUUUUAUUUUUCUGCCUGUUUUAAGUUUUUUUUUAUGAAAUACUAUUAUGUUUCUUUUUUUUUUUUUAGUUUUUUAUUUUUUUUUAAUUUCCUGCCUAUUUUAAGGGUUUUUUAUGUUUAAGUUUUCUUUUUCUGUUUUUCAGUUUUCUGCCUGCUUUAAGGGUGUUUUAAAUUUUAAAUGUAAUUAAAAAAUUUUAAAAAUAUUUGUUGAUUUGUGUUUUUGUUUUUUAUUUGUUUGUGUUUUUUUUUUUUAGAAAAAACUUAGUUAGUUUUUAGUUAGUUUUUUUUCCAGUUUUCUGCCUCUUUGAAGGGUUUUUUCUUUAGUUUUUUUUUUCAGUUUUCUGCCAUUUUUAAGGGUGUAUAUAUAUACUUCAAUAUCCACAUUGACAACACCAACCUGCCCCUCACUAGAGACUUCUCAUCAUGCCUGGACAGUUUUAGACUCCAUCAAGACUCCAAGUUAUUUUUUAGAAAUACUAUUCUUUUUCUUCUUUUUUAGUUUUCUUUAGUUUUUUUCUGCCUGUUUUAAUUUUUUUAAUUAUUUUUUAUAUAUAUAUUUAAAGUGUUUUUUUCAGAUAUACUUUUCUUUCGUUUUUUUAAUUUUGUUUAUACUAUCCUUUCUCUUUUUUUUAGUUUUCUUUAGUUUUUUCUGCCUGUUUAAAGUUUAUUUUAGUUUUUUUUGUUAUAUAUAUAUUUUUUUAAAGUGUUUUUUUCAGAUAAACUUUUCUUUCUGUUUCCUUUAAUUUUGUUAAUACUAUUAUUUCUCUUUUUUUAGUUUUCUUUAUUUUUUUUCUGCCUGUUUUAAGUUUUUUUUGUUUGUUUUUUUGUUAUAUAUAUAUAUAUAUAUAUAUAUAUAUAUAUAUAUAUAUAUAUAUAUAUAUAUAUAUAUAUAUUUAGGGUGUUUUUUUCAGAUAUACUAUUCUUUCUGUUUUUUUUGUUUUUCUUUAUACUAUUCUUUCUCCUUUUUUAGUUUUCUUUAGUUUUUUCUGCCUGUUCUAAGUAUUUUUUGUCUUUUUUUAUUUUUUUGAACUUUUUUUUAGAAAUACUAAUCUUCUUUUUAUUAUUUUUCUUUAUAUUUUUUCUGCCUGUUUUAAGUUUUUUUUUGUUAUUUAUAUAUAUUAAGGGUGUUCUUUUCUGAAAUACUUUUCCUUCUGUUUUUUUUAUUUUGUUUAUACUAUCCUUUCUCUUUUUUAGUUUUCUUUAGUUUUUUCUGCCUGUUUUAAGUUUUUUUUUAGUUUUUUCUAUAUAUUUAGGGUGUUUUUUUCUGAAAUACUAUUCCUUCUGUUUCUUUUUUAUUUUGUUUUUACUAUCAUUUCUCUUUUUUAGUUUUCUUUAGUUUUUUUUUCUGCCUGUUUUAAGUUUUUUUUAGUUUUUUGUUAUUUAUAUAUAUUUAGGGUGUUCUUUUCUGAAAUACUUUUCUUUCUGUUUUUUUAAUUUUGUUUAUACUAUCCUUUCUCUUUUUUUAGUUUUCUUUAGUUUUUUGUCUGCCUGUUUUAAGUUUUUUUAUUAGUUUUUUUAGUUCUUUUUAUUUAUAAUUAGGGUGUUUUUUUUAGUUUUUUUGAAGUUUUUUUGAAGUUUUUUUAGAAAUACUAAUCUUCUUGUUUUUAUUAGUUUUCUUUAGUUUUAUUCUGCCUGUUUUAAGUUUUUUUUUUUUUCUAUAUAUUUGGGGUGUUUUUUCUGAUAUACUUUUCUUUCUGUUUUUUUAAUUUUGUUUAUACUAUCCUUUCUCUUUUUUUAGUUUUCUUUAGUUUUUUGUCUGCCUGUUUUAAGUUUUUUGUAUUAGUUUUUUGAGUUCUUUUUGUUUUUUAUAAUUAGGGUGUUUUUUUUUCAGAAAUACUUUUCCUUCUGUUUUUUUUAUUUUGUUUACACUAUCCUUUCUCCUCUUUUUAGUUUACUUUAGUUUUUUCUGCCUGUUUUAAGUUUUUUUUUUAGUUUUUUAAAGUUUUUUUUAGAAAUACUAUUCUUUUUCUUCUUUUUUUUAGUUUUCUUUAGUUUUAUUCUGCCUGUUUUUAGGGGGUUUUUUCAGGUUAUUUUCAGUUUUUUUGUUAUUUAUAUAUAUAUAGGUUGUUCUUUUCUGAAAUACUUUUCCUUCUGUUUUUUUUAUUUUGUUUAUACUAUCCUUUCUAUCCUUCUAUCCUUUUUCCUAUCCUUUCUUUUGUUUUUUUUAGUUCUUUUUGUUAUAUAUAUUUAGGGUGUUUUUUUUCAGAAAUACUUUUCCUUCUGUUUUUUAAAUUUUGUAUACACUAUCCUUUCUCCUUUUUUUAGUUUACUUUAGUUUUUUUCUGCCUGUUUUAAGUUUUUUUUUUAGUUUUUUUAGUUUUUUAAAGUUUUUUUUAGAAAAUACUAUUCUUUUUCUUCUUUUUUAGUUUUCUUUAGUUUUAUUCUGCCUGUUUUUAAGGUUUUUUUUAGUUUUUUUUUCUUUUUUUAUUAUUUAUAUAUAUAUAGGUUGUUCUUUUCUGAAAUACUUUUCCUUCUGUUUUUUUAUUUUGUUUAUACUAUCCUUUCUCUUUUUUUAGUUUUCUUUAGUUUUUUUCUCCCUGUUUUAAUUUUUUAUUAGAAAAACUAUUCUUUUUCUUAUCUUGAAGACUUAAAAACAGGCAACUGGACUGUGUAGAGUUGAGAGUUGUUAUUUAUAAAUAUUAAGGGUUUUCCUUUCUGAAAUACUUUUCCUUCUGUUUUUUUAUUUUGUUUACACUAUCCUUUCUCUUUUUUAGUUUUCUUCAGUUUUUUCUGCCUGUUUUAAUUUUUUUUGUUUUUUCUAUAUAUUUAGGGUGUUUUUUCUGAUAUACUUUUCUUUCUGUUUUUUUAAUUUUGUUUAUACUAUCCUUUCUCUUUUUUUAGUUUUCUUUAGUUUUUUGUCUGCCUGUUUUAAGUUUUUUUUAUUAGUUUUUUUAGUUCUUUUUGUUAUAUAUAUUUAGGGUGUUUUUUUUCAGAAAUACUUUUCCUUCUGUUUUUUUAUUUUGUUUACACUAUCCUUUCUCCUUUUUUAGUUUUCUUUAGUUUUUUUCUGCCUGUUUUAAGUUUUUUUUUUAGUUUUUUAAAGUUUUUUUUAGAAAUACUAUUCUUUUUUUCUUUUUUUAGUUUUCUUUAGUUUUAUUCUGCCUGUUUUUAAGGGUUUUUUUCAGGUUUUUUUCAGUUUUUUUGUUAUUUAUAUAUAUAUAUAGGUUGUUCUUUUCUGAAAUACUUUUCCUUCUGUUUUUUUUAUUUUGUUUAUACUAUCCUUUCUAUCCUUCUAUCCUUUUUCCUAUCCUUUCUUUUGUUUUUUUUAGUUCUUUUUGUUAUAUAUAUUUAGGGUGUUUUUUUUCAGAAAUACUUUUCCUUCUGUUUUUUAAAUUUUGUAUACACUAUCCUUUCUCCUUUUUUUAGUUUACUUUAGUUUUUUUCUGCCUGUUUAAAUUUUUUUUUUUAGUUUUUUUAGUUUUUUAAAGUUUUUUUUAGAAAAUACUAUUCUUUUUCUUCUUUUUUAGUUUUCUUUAGUUUUAUUCUGCCUGUUUUUAAGGUUUUUUUUAGUUUUUUUUUCUUUUUUUAUUAUUUAUAUAUAUAUAGGUUGUUCUUUUCUGAAAUACUUUUCCUUCUUUUUUUUUAUUUUGUUUAUAAUAUCCUUUCUCUUUUUUUAGUUUUCUUUAGUUUUUUUCUCCCUGUUUUAAUUUUUUAUUAGAAAAACUAUUCUUUUUCUUAUCUUGAAGACUUAAAAACAGGCAACUGGACUGUGUAGAGUUGAGAGUUGUUAUUUAUAAAUAUUAAGGGUUUUCCUUUCUGAAAUACUUUUCCUUCUGUUUUUUUAUUUUGUUUAUACUAUCCUUUCUCUUUUUUAGUUUUCUUCAGUUUUUUUCUGCCUGUUUUAAUUUUUUUUGUUUUUUCUAUAUAUUUAGGGUGUUUUUUCUGAUAUACUUUUCUUUCUGUUUUUUUAAUUUUGUUUAUACUAUCCUUUCUCUUUUUUUAGUUUUCUUUAGUUUUUUGUCUGCCUGUUUUAAGUUUUUUUUAUUAGUUUUUUUAGUUCUUUUUGUUAUAUAUAUUUAGGGUGUUUUUUUUCAGAAAUAGUUUUCCUUCUGUUUUUUUAUUUUGUUUACACUAUCCUUUCUCCUCUUUUUAGUUCACUUUAGUUUUUUUCUGCCUGUUUUAAGUUUUUUUUUUAGUUUUUUAAAGUUUUUUUUAGAAAUACUAUUCUUUUUCUUUUUUUUUUAGUUUUCUUUAGUUUUAUUCUGCCUGUUUUUAAGGGGUUUUUUCAGGUUUUUUUCAGUUUUUUUGAAGUUUUUUUGAAGUUUUUUUAGAAAUACUAAUCUUCUUCUUGUUUUUAUUAGUUUUCUUUAGUUUUAUUCUGCCUGUUUUAAGUUUUUUUUUUUUCUAUAUAUUUGGGGUGUUUUUUCUGAUAUACUUUUCUUUCUGUUUUUUUAAUUUUGUUUAUACUAUCCUUUCUCUUUUUUUAGUUUUCUUUAGUUUUUUGUCUGCCUGUUUUAAGUUUUUUGUAUUAGUUUUUUGAGUUCUUUUUGUUUUUUAUAAUUAGGGUGUUUUUUUCAGAAAUACUUUUCCUUCUGUUUUUUUUAUUUUGUUUACACUAUCCUUUCUCCUCUUUUUAGUUUACUUUAGUUUUUUUCUGCCUGUUUUAAGUUUUUUUUUUAGUUUUUUAAAGUUUUUUAGAAAUACUAUUCUUUUUCUUCUUUUUUUAGUUUUCUUUAGUUUUAUUCUGCCUGUUUUUAAGGGGUUUUUUCAGGUUUUUUUCAGUUUUUUUGUUAUUUAUAUAUAUAUAGGUUGUUCUUUUCUGAAAUACUUUUCCUUCUGUUUUUUUAUUUUGUUUAUACUAUCCUUUCUAUCCUUCUAUCCUUUAUCCUAUCCUUUCUUUUGUUUUUUUUAAUUCUAUUUGUUAUAUAUAUUUAGGGUGUUUUUUUUCAGAAAUACUUUUCCUUCUGUUUUUUAAAUUUUGUAUACACUAUCCUUUCUCCUUUUUUUAGUUUACUUUAGUUUUUUUCUGCCUGUUUUAAGUCUUUUUUUAGUUUUUUUAGUUUUUUAAAGUUUUUUUAGAAAAUACUAUUCUUUUCUUCUUUUUUAGUUUUCUUUAGUUUUAUCCUGCCUGUUUUUAAGUUUUUUUUUAGUUUUUUUUUUCUUUUUUUAUUAUUUAUAUAUAUAUAGGUUGUUCUUUUCUGAAAUACUUUUCCUUCUGUUUUUUUAUUUUGUUUAUACUAUCCUUUCUCUUUUUUAGUUUUCUUCAGUUUUUUUCUGCCUGUUUUAAUUUUUUUUGUUUUUUCUAUAUAUUUAGGGUGUUUUUUCUGAUAUACUUUUCUUUCUGUUUUUUUAAUUUUGUUUAUACUAUCCUUUCUCUUUUUUUAGUUUUCUUUAGUUUUUUGUCUGCCUGUUUUAAGUUUUUUUUAAGGUUUUUUUCAGUUUUUUGUUAUUUAUAUAUAUAUAUAGGUUGUUCUUUUCUGAAAUACUUUUCCUUCUUUUUUUUAUUUUGUUUAUACUAUCCUUUCUCCUUUUUAGUUUUCUUUAGUUUUUGUCUGCCUGUUUUAAGUUUUUUUUUUAGUUUUUUGAAGUUUUUUUUAGAAAUACUAAUCUUUUUAUUAGUUUUCUUUAGUUUUUUUCUGCCUGUUUUAAUUGUUUUGUUUUUUGUUUCCUUUAGUUUUUUUUUCUUCAGUUUUUUUUACCUAUUUUUUUGCCUGGCACCUCUUUCUUGAUGAGCUACUCUUAGUCUGGUCCCUCCCCCAGGACCUGCUGCCUUGGGUAACCUUUCAGAGGCAUAAAGCCCUGACAACAUAGCUCCUGGGAUCAUUGGGACACACAAACCCCUCCACCACGGUAAGGUGGUAGCUCAAGGAGGGGAAAAAACCCUCACAUGGGAGGGAAAAACCGCAAGGGUUUUUUUUUCUGUGCAAAACACCCGGUUUAGGGUGGGUUUUUGUUCUUUUUUUUCAGAAAUACUUUUCAUUUCUUUAGUUUCCUAUAGUUCUUUUUUAUUUUUCUGCCUGUUUUAAGUUUUUUUUUCAGAAAUACUGUGAUGUUUCUUUUUUUUUUAGUUUUUUUUUAUGAAUACUAUUCUUUUUCUCAGUUUUCUUUAGUUUUUUUUGUCAUUUAUAAAUAUUAAGGGUUUUCCUUUCUGAAAUACUUUUCCUUCUGUUUUUUUAUUUUGUUUAUACUAUCCUUUCUCUUUUUUAGUUUUCUUUAGUAUUUUCUACCUGUUUUAAGUUUUUUUUUUGUUUUUUUUGUUUUUUCUAUAUAUUUAGGGUGUUUUUUUCUGAAAUACUUUUCCUUCUGUUUUUUUUAUUUUGUUUAUACUAUCCUUUCUCUUUUUUAGUUUUCUUUAGUUUUUUUCUGCCUGUUUUAAGUUUUUUUUGUUUUUUCUAUAUAUUUAGGGUGUUUUAUCAGAAAUACUUUUCCUUCUGUUUUUUUUAUUUUGUUUAUACUAUCCUUUCUCUUUUUUAGUUUUCUUUAGUUUUUUUCUGCCUGUUUUAAGUUUUUUUUAGUUUUUUUAGUUUUUUAGUUUUUUCUAUAUAUUUAGGGUGUUUUUUCUGAAAUACUUUUCCUUCUGUUUUUUUUAUUUUUUUUAUACUAUCCUUUCUCUUUCUUUAAUUUUCUUUAGUUUUUUGUCUGCCUGUUUUAAGUGUUUUUUUUUAUUUUUUAAAGUUUUUUUUUAGAAAUACUAUUCUUUUUCUUCUUUUUUUAGUUUUCUUUAGUUUUAUUCUGCCUGUUUUUAAGGGUUUUUUUAGGUUUUUUUCAGUUUUUUGUUAUUUAUAUAUAUAAACAACCUGUUUUAAGGUUGUUUUUUAGUUUUUUUCUUGUUGUUAUUUAUAUAUAUUAAGGGUGUUCUUUUCUGAAAUACUUUUCCUUCUUUUUUUUCAUUUUGUUUAUAAUAUCCUUUCUCUUUUUUAGUUUUCUUUAGUUUUUUUCUGCCUGUUUUAAGUUUUUUUUUUUUUUUUUUUUCUAUAUAUUUAGGGUGUUUUUUUUCUCAAAUACUAUUCUUUUUCUCCUUUUUUUAGUUUUCUUUAGUUUUAUUCUGCCUGUUUUUAAGGUUUUUUUUUAGUUUUUUUUCAGUUUUUUGUUAUUUAUAUACACUCACUGGCCACUUUAUUAGGUACACCUGUCCAACUGCUCGUUAACACUUAAUUUCUAAUCAGCCAAUCACAUGGCGGCAACUUAGUGCAUUUAGGCAUGUAGACAUGGUCAAGACAAUCUCCUGCAGUUCAAACCGAGCAUCAGUAUGGGGAAGAAAGGUGAUUUGAGUGACUUUGAACGUGGCAUGGUUGUUAGUGCCAGAAGGGCUGGUCUGAGUAUUUCAGAAACUGCUGAUCUACUGGGAUUUUCACGCACAACCAUCUCUAGGGUUUACAGAGAAUGGUCCGAAAAAGAAAAAAUAUCCAGUGAGCGGCAGUUCUGUGGGCGGAAAUGCCUUGUUGAUGCCAGAGGUCAGAGGAGAAUGGCCAGACUGGUUUGAGCUGAUAGAAAGGCAACAGUGACUCAAAUAACCACCCGUUACAACCAAGGUAGGCAGAAGAGCAUCUCUGAACGCACAGUACAUCGAACUUUGAGGCAGAUGGGCUACAGCAGCAGAAGACCACGCCAGGUGCCACUCCUUUCAGCUAAGAACAGGAAACUGAGGCUACAAUUUGCACAAGCUCAUCGAAAUUGGACAAUGAAGAUUGGAAAAACGUUGCCUGGUCUGAUGAGUCUCGAUUUCUGCUGCGACAUUCGGAUGGUAGGGUCAGAAUUUGGCGUCAACAACAUGAAAGCAUGGAUCCAUCCUGCCUUGUAUCAACAGUUCUGGCUGGUGGUGGUGGUGUCAUGGUGUGGGGAAUAUUUUCUUGGCACUCUUUGGGCCCCUUGGUACCAAUUGAGCAUCGUUGCAACGCCACAGCCUACCUGAGUAUUGUUGCUGACCAUGUCCAUCCCUUUAUGACCACAAUGUACCCAACUUCUGAUGGCUACUUUCAGCAGGAUAAUGCGCCAUGUCAUAAAGCUGGAAUCAUCUCAGACUGGUUUCUUGAACAUGACAAUGAGUUCACUGUACUCAAAUGGCCUCCACAGUCACCAGAUCUCAAUCCAAUAGAGCAUCUUUGGGAUGUGGUGGAGCGGGAGAUUCGCAUCAUGGAUGUGCAGCCGACAAAUCUGCGGCAACUGUGUGAUGCCAUCAUGUCAAUAUGGACCAAGCUCUCUGAGGAAUGCUUCCAGCACCUUGUUGAAUCUAUGCCACGAAGAAUUGAGGCAGUUCUGAAGGCAAAAGGGGGUCCAACCCGUUACUAGCAUGGUGUACCUAAUAAAGUGGCCGGUGAGUGUAUAUAUAUAGGUUGUUCUUUUCUGAAAUACUUUUCCUUGUGUUUUUUUAUUUUGUUUAUACUAUCCUUUCUAUCCUUCUAUCCUUUAUCCUAUCCUUUCUUAUAGUUUUUUUAGUUCUUUUUGUUAUAUAUAUUUAGGGUGUUUUUUUUCAGAAAUACUUUUCCUUCUGUUUUUUUAUUUUGUUUACACUAUCCUUUCUCUUCUUUUUAGUUUACUUUAGUUUUUUUCUGCCUGUUUUAAGUUUUUUUUUUAGUUUUUUAAAGUUUUUUUUAGAAAUACUAUUCUUUUUCUUCUUUUUUUAGUUUUCUUUAGUUUUAUUCUGCCUGUUUUUAAGGGGUUUUUUCAGGUUUUUUUCAGUUUUUUUGAAGUUUUUUUAGAAAUACUAAUCUUCUUGUUUUUAUUAGUUUUCUUUAGUUUUAUUCUGCCUGUUUUAAGUUUUUUUUUUUUUCUAUAUAUUUGGGGUGUUUUUUCUGAUAUACCUUUCUUUCUGUUUUUUUAAUUUUGUUUAUACUAUCCUUUCUCUUUUUUUAAUUUUCUUUAGUUUUUUGUCUGCCUGUUUUAAGUUUUUUGUAUUAGUUUUUUGAGUUCUUUUUGUUUUUUAUAAUUAGGGUGUUUUUUUCAGAAAUACUUUUCCUUCUGUUUUUUUUUAUUUUGUUUACACUAUCCUUUCUCCUCUUUUUAGUUUACUUUAGUUUUUUUCUGCCUGUUUUAAGUUUUUUUUUUAGUUUUUUAAAGUUUUUUUAGAAAUACUAUUCUUUUUCUUCUUUUUUUAGUUUUCUUUAGUUUUAUUCUGCCUGUUUUUAAGGGUUUUUUUCAGGUUUUUUUCAGUUUUUUUGUUAUUUAUAUAUAUAUAGGUUGUUCUUUUCUGAAAUACUUUUCCUUCUGUUUUUUUAUUUUGUUUAUACUAUCCUUUCUAUCCUUCUAUCCUUUAUCCUAUCCUUUCUUUUGUUUUUUUUAAUUCUAUUUGUUAUAUAUAUUUAGGGUGUUUUUUUUCAGAAAUACUUUUCCUUCUGUUUUUUAAAUUUUGUAUACACUAUCCUUUCUCCUUUUUUUAGUUUACUUUAGUUUUUUUCUGCCUGUUUUAAGUUUUUUUUAGUUUUUUUAGUUUUUUAAAGUUUUUUUAGAAAAUACUAUUCUUUUUCUUCUUUUUUAGUUUUCUUUAGUUUUAUCCUGCCUGUUUUUAAGUUUUUUUUUUAGUUUUUUUUUUCUUUUUUUAUUAUUUAUAUAUAUAUAGGUUGUUCUUUUCUGAAAUACUUUUCCUUCUGUUUUUUUAUUUUGUUUAUACUAUCCUUUCUCUUUUUUAGUUUUCUUCAGUUUUUUUCUGCCUGUUUUAAUUUUUUUUUGUUUUUUCUAUAUAUUUAGGGUGUUUUUUCUGAUAUACUUUUCUUUCUGUUUUUUUAAUUUUGUUUAUACUAUCCUUUCUCUUUUUUUAGUUUUCUUUAGUUUUUUGUCUGCCUGUUUUAAGUUUUUUUUAUUAGUUUUUUUAGUUCUUUUUGUUAUAUAUAUUUAGGGUGUUUUUUUUUCGGAAAUAGUUUUCCUUCUGUUUUUUUAUUUUGUUUACACUAUCCUUUCUCCUCUUUUUAGUUCACUUUAGUUUUUUUCUGCCUGUUUUAAGUUUUUUUUUUAGUUUUUUUUAGUUUUUUAAAGUUUUUUUUAGAAAUACUAUUCUUUUUUUUCUUUUUUUAGUUUUCUUUAGUUUUAUUCUGCCUGUUUUUAAGGUUUUUUUUAAGGUUUUUUUCAGUUUUUUGUUAUUUAUAUAUAUAUAUAGGUUGUUUUUUUCUGAAAUACUUUUCCUUCUUUUUUUUAUUUUGUUUAUACUAUCCUUUCUCCUUUUUAGUUUUCUUUAGUUUUUGUCUGCCUGUUAUAAGUUUUUUUUUAGUUUUUUGAAGUUUUUUUUAGAAAUACUAAUCUUCUUUUUAUUAGUUUUCUUUAGUUUUUUUCUGCCUGUUUUAAUUGUUUUGUUUUUUGUUUCCUUUAGUUUUUUUUUCUUCAGUUUUUUUUCCUAUUUUUUUGCCUGGCACCUCUUUCUUGAUGAGCUACUCUUAGUCUGGUCCCUCCCCCAGGACCUGCUGCCUUGGGUAACCUUUCAGAGGCAUAAAGCCCUGACAACAUAGCUCCUGGGAUCAUUGGGACACACAAACCCCUCCACCACGGUAAGGUGGUAGCUCAAGGAGGGGAAAAAACCCUCACAUGGGAGGGAAAAACCGCAAGGGUUUUUUUUUCUGUGCAAAACACCCGGUUUAGGGUGGGUUUUUGUUCUUUUUUUUCGGAAAUACUUUUCAUUUCUUUAGUUUCCUAUAGUUCUUUUUUAUUUUUCUGCCUGUUUUAAGUUUUUUUUCAGAAAUACUGUGAUGUUUCUUUUUUUUUUUUAGUUUUUUUUUUUACGAAUACUAUUCUUUUUCUCAGUUUUCUUUAGUUUUUUUUGUCAUUUAUAAAUAUUAAGGGUUUUCCUUUCUGAAAUACUUUUCCUUCUGUUUUUUUAUUUUGUUUAUACUAUCCUUUCUCUUUUUUAGUUUUCUUUAGUAUUUUCUACCUGUUUUAAGUUUUUUUUUUUUUUUUUUUUUUUUCUAUAUAUUUAGGGUGUUUUUUUCUGAAAUACUUUUCCUUCUGUUUUGUUUUAUUUUGUUUAUACAAUCCUUUCUCUUUUUUAGUUUUCUUUAGUUUUUUUCUGCCUGUUUUAAGUUUUUUUUUUAGUUUUUUUUUGUUUUUUUUCUAUAUAUUUAGGGUGUUUUUUCUGAUAUACUUUUCUUUCUGUUUUUUUUAAUAUUGUUUAUACUAUCAUUUCUCUUUAUUUAGUUUUCUUUAGUUUUUUGUCUGCCUGUUUUAAGAUGUUUUUAUUAGUUUUUUUAGUUCUUUUUGUUAUAUAUAUUUAGGGUGUUUUUUUUCAGAAAUAGUUUUCCUUCUGUUUUUUUUUAUUUUGUUUACACUGUCCUUUCUCUUUUUUUUUAAUUUUCUUUAGUUUUUUGUCUGCCUGUUUUUAGUUUUUUUUUUUAGUUUUUUUUUUAGUUCUUUUUGUAAUAUAUUUAGGGUGUUUUAUCAGAAAUACUUUUCCUUCUGUUUUUUUAUUUUGUUUAUAAUAUCCUUUCUCCUUUUUUAGUUUACUUUAGUUUUUUCUGCCUGUUUUAAGUUUUUUUUUUAGAUUUUUUUUAGUUUUUUAAAGUUUGUUUUAGAAAUACUAUUCUUUUUCUUCUUUUUUUAGGUUUCUUUAGUUUUUUUCUGCCUGUUUUAAGGUUGUUUUUUAGUUUUUUUUUCUUGUUGUUAUUUAUAUAUAUAUAGGUUGUUCUUUUCUGAAAUACUUUUCCUUCUGUUUUUUUUAUUUUGUUUAUACUAUCCUUUCUCUUUUUUAGUUUUCUUUAGUUUUUUUCUGCCUGUUUUAAGUUUUUUUUGUUUUUUCUAUAUAUUUAGGGUGUUUUUUUUCUCAAAUACUUUUCCUUCUGUUUUUUUUAUUUUGUUUACACUAUCCUUUCUCUUUUUUUAAUUUUCUUUAGUUUUUUGUCUGCCUGUUUUUAGUUUUUUUUUUUUUAGUUUUUUUUAGUUCUUUUUGUAAUAUAUUUAGGGUGUUUUAUCAGAAAUACUUUUCCUUCUGUUUUUUUUAUUUUGUUUAUACUAUCCUUUCUCUUUUUUAGUUUUCUUUAGUUUUUUUCUGCCUGUUUUAAGUUUUUUUUAGUUUUUUUAGUUUUUUAGUUUUUUCUAUAUAUUUAGGGUGUUUUUUUCUGAAAUACUUUUCCUUCUGUUUUUUUUAUUUUGUUUAUACUAUCCUUUCUCUUUCUUUAAUUUUCUUUAGUUUUUUGUCUGCCUGUUUUAAGUGUUUUUUUUUAGUUUUUUAAAGUUUUUUUUUAGAAAUACUAUUCUUUUUCUUCUUUUUUUAGUUUUCUUUAGUUUUAUUCUGCCUGUUUUUAAGGGUUUUUUUAGGUUUUUUUCAGUUUUUUGUUAUUUAUAUAUAUAAACAACCUGUUUUAAGGUUGUUUUUUAGUUUUUUUCUUGUUGUUAUUUAUAUAUAUUAAGGGUGUUCUUUUCUGAAAUACUUUUCCUUCUUUUUUUUCAUUUUGUUUAUAAUAUCCUUUCUCUUUUUUAGUUUUCUUUAGUUUUUUUCUCCCUGUUUUAAGUUUUUUUUUUUUUUUUUUUUUUUCUAUAUAUUUAGGGUGUUUUUUUUCUCAAAUACUAUUCUUUUUCUCCUUUUUUUUAGUUUUCUUUAGUUUUAUUCUGCCUGUUUUUAAGGUUUUUUUUUAGUUUUUUUUCAGUUUUUUGUUAUUUAUAUACACUCACUGGCCACUUUAUUAGGUACACCUGUCCAACUGCUCGUUAACACUUAAUUUCUAAUCAGCCAAUCACAUGGCGGCAACUUAGUGCAUUUAGGCAUGUAGACAUGGUCAAGACAAUCUCCUGCAGUUCAAACCGAGCAUCAGUAUGGGGAAGAAAGGUGAUUUGAGUGACUUUGAACGUGGCAUGGUUGUUAGUGCCAGAAGGGCUGGUCUGAGUAUUUCAGAAACUGCUGAUCUACUGGGAUUUUCACGCACAACCAUCUCUAGGGUUUACAGAGAAUGGUCCGAAAAAGAAAAAAUAUCCAGUGAGCGGCAGUUCUGUGGGCGGAAAUGCCUUGUUGAUGCCAGAGGUCAGAGGAGAAUGGCCAGACUGGUUUGAGCUGAUAGAAAGGCAACAGUGACUCAAAUAACCACCCGUUACAACCAAGGUAGGCAGAAGAGCAUCUCUGAACGCACAGUACAUCGAACUUUGAGGCAGAUGGGCUACAGCAGCAGAAGACCACGCCAGGUGCCACUCCUUUCAGCUAAGAACAGGAAACUGAGGCUACAAUUUGCACAAGCUCAUCGAAAUUGGACAAUGAAGAUUGGAAAAACGUUGCCUGGUCUGAUGAGUCUCGAUUUCUGCUACGACAUUCGGAUGGUAGGGUCAGAAUUUGGCGUCAACAACAUGAAAGCAUGGAUCCAUCCUGCCUUGUAUCAACAGUUCUGGCUGGUGGUGGUGGUGUCAUGGUGUGGGGAAUAUUUUCUUGGCACUCUUUGGGCCCCUUGGUACCAAUUGAGCAUCGUUGCAACGCCACAGCCUACCUGAGUAUUGUUGCUGACCAUGUCCAUCCCUUUAUGACCACAAUGUACCCAACUUCUGAUGGCUACUUUCAGCAGGAUAAUGCGCCAUGUCAUAAAGCUGGAAUCAUCUCAGACUGGUUUCUUGAACAUGACAAUGAGUUCACUGUACUCAAAUGGCCUCCACAGUCACCAGAUCUCAAUCCAAUAGAGCAUCUUUGGGAUGUGGUGGAGCGGGAGAUUCGCAUCAUGGAUGUGCAGCCGACAAAUCUGCGGCAACUGUGUGAUGCCAUCAUGUCAAUAUGGACCAAGCUCUCUGAGGAAUGCUUCCAGCACCUUGUUGAAUCUAUGCCACGAAGAAUUGAGGCAGUUCUGAAGGCAAAAGGGGGUCCAACCCGUUACUAGCAUGGUGUACCUAAUAAAGUGGCCGGUGAGUGUAUAUAUAUAGGUUGUUCUUUUCUGAAAUACUUUUCCUUGUGUUUUUUUAUUUUGUUUAUACUAUCCUUUCUAUCCUUCUAUCCUUUAUCCUAUCCUUUCUUUUAGUUUUUUUAGUUCUUUUUGUUAUAUAUAUUUAGGGUGUUUUUUUUCAGAAAUACUUUUCCUUCUGUUUUUUUAAUUUUGUUUACACUAUCCUUUCUCCUUUUUUUGGUUAACUUUAGUUUUUUUCUGCCUGUUUUAAGGUUGUUUUUUAGUUUUUUUUAGUUUUUUAAAGUUUUUUUUUUAGAAAUACUAUCCUUUUCUUCUUUUUUAAUUUUCUUUAGUUUUAUUCUUCCUGUUUUUAAGUUUUUUUUAGUUUUUUUUUAGUUUUUUGUUAUUUAUAUAUAUAGGUUGUUCUUUUCUGAAAUACUUUUCCUUCUGUUUUUUUUAUUUUGUUUAUACUAUCCUUUCUCUUUUUUUUAGUUUUCUUUAGUUUUUUUUCUGCCUGUUUUAAUUUUUUAUUAGAAAAACUAUUCUUUUUCUUCUUUUUUAGUUUUCUUUAGUUUUUUUCUGCAUGUUUAAAGUUGUUUUUUAGUUUUUUUUUGUUAUUUAUAAAUAUUAAGGGUUUUCCUUUCUAAAAUACUUUUCCUUCUGUUUUUUUAUUUUGUUUAUACCAUCCUUUCUCUUUUUUAGUUUUCUUUAGUUUUUUUCUGCCUGUUUUAAGUUUUUUUUUAGUUUUUUUAGUUUUUUAGUUUUUUCUAUAUAUUUAGGGUGUUUUUUCUGAAAUACUUUUCCUUCUGUUUUUUUUAUUUUGUUUAUACUAUCCUUUCUCUUUCUUUAAUUUUCUUUAGUUUUUUGUCUGCCUGUUUUAAGUGGUUUUUUUUAGGUUUUUUUAGUUACUUUUGUAAUAUAUUUAGGGUGUUUUAUCAGAAAUACUUCUGUUUUUUUUAUUUUGUUUAUAAUAUCCUUUCUCCUUUUUUAGUUUACUUUAGUUUUUUCUGCCUGUUUUAAUUUUAUUUUUUAGUUUUUUUUUGUUCUUUUUGUAAUAUAUUUAGGGUGUUUUUUCAGAAAUACUGUUCCUUCUGUUUUUUUUAGUUUUUGUCUGCCUGUUCUAAGUUUUUUUUUAGUUUUUUUUAGUUUUUUUUAGAAAUAAUAAUCUUCUUUUUAUUAGUUUUCUUUAGUUUUUUUCUGCCUGUUUUAAUUUUUCUGUUUUUUGUUUUCUUUAGUUUUUUUUCUUCAGUUUUUUUUUCCUAUUUUUUUGCCUGGCACCUCUGUCUGGAUGAGCUACUCUUAGUCUGGUCCCUCCCCCAGGACCUGUUUGCCUUGGGUAACCUUUCAGAGGCAUAAAGCCCUGACAACAUAGCUCCUGGGAUCAUUGGGACACACAAACCCCUCCACCACGGUAAGGUGGUAGCUCAAGGAGGGGAAAAAACCCUCACAUGGGAGGGAAAAACCGCAAGGGUUUUUUUUUCUGUCCAAAACAACCGGUUUAGGGUGGGUUUUUGUUCUUUUUUUUCAGAAAUACUUUUAUUUUCUUUAGUUUCCUAUAGUUCUUUUUUAUUUUUCUGCCUGUUUUAAGUUUUUUUUUUCAGAAAUACUGUGAUUUUACUUUUUUUUUUUACUUUUUUUUUUUUUACAAAUACUAUUCUUUUUCUUUGUUUUCUUUAGUUUUUUUCUGCAUGUUUAAAGUUUUUUUUUGUUUUUUUUGUUAUUUAUAAAUAUAAAGGGUUUUCCUUUCUAAAAUACUUUUCCUUCUGUUUUUUUUAUUUUGUUUAUACUAUCCUUUCUCUUUUUUAGUUUUCUUUAGUUUUUUUCUACCUGUUUUAAGUUUUUUUUGUUUGUCUUUUUUGUUUUUUCUAUAUAUUUAGGGUCUUUUUUUCUGAAAUACUUUUCCCUCUGUUUUUUUAUUUUGUUUAUACUAUCCUUUCUAUUUUUUAGUUUUCUUUAGUUUUUUUCUGCCUGUUUUAAGUUUUUUUUUUUUUUUUUUUAUAUAUAUUUGGGGUAUUUUUUCUGAUAUACUUUUCUUUCUGUUUUUUCAAUUUUGUUUAUACUAUCCUUUCUCUUUUUUUAGUUUUCUCUAGUUUUUUUCUGCCUGUUUUAAGUUUUUUUAUUAGUUUUUUUAGUUUUUUUCUGUUAUAUAUAAUUAGGGUGGUUUUUUUUCAGAAAUUCUUUUCCUUCUGUUUUUUUAUUUUGUUUACACUAUCCUUUCUCCUCUUUUUAGUUUACUUUAGUUUUUUCUGCCUGUUUUAAGUUUUUUUUUAGUUUUUAAAAGUUUUUUUUAGAAAUACUAUUCUUUUUCUUCUUUUUUUAGUUUUCUUUAGUUUUAUUCUGCCUGUUUUUAAGGGUUUUUUUAGUUUUUUUUCAGUUUUUUUGUUAUUUAUAUAUAUAUAUAGGUUGUUCUUUUCUGAAAUACUUUUCCUUCUGUUUUUUUUUUAUUUUGUUUAUACCAUCCUUUCUAUCCUUUAUUUCUUUAGUUUUUUUCUGCCUGUUUUAAGUUUUUUUUUUUUUUUUUUUUUUUUUUUUCUAUAUAUUUGGGGUGUUUUUUCUGAUAUACUUUUCUUUCUGUUUUUUCAAUUUUGUUUAUACUAUCCUUUCUCUUUUUUUAGUUUUCUCUAGUUUUUUUUCUGCCUGUUUUAAGUUUUUUUAUUAGUUUUUUUAGUUUUUUUCUGUUAUAUAUAAUUAGGGUGUUUUUUUUUUCAGAAAUUCUUUUCCUUCUGUUUUUUAUUUUGUUUACACUAUCCUUUCUCCUCUUUUUAGUUUACUUUAGUUUUUUCUGCCUGUUUUAAGUUUUUUUUUAGUUUUUAAAAGUUUUUUUUAGAAAUACUAUUCUUUUUCUUCUUUUUUUAGUUUUCUUUAGUUUUAUUCUGCCUGUUUUUAAGGGUUUUUUUUAGUUUUUUUUUCAGUUUUUUUGUUAUUUAUAUAUAUAUAUAGGUUGUUCUUUUCUGAAAUACUUUUCCUUCUGUUUUUUUUUUUUAUUUUGUUUAUACCAUCCUUUCUAUCCUUUAUCCUAUCCUUUCUUUUAGUUUUUUUAGUUCUUUUUGUUAUAUAUAUUUAGGGUGUUUUUUUUCAGAAAUAUUUUUCCUUCUGUUUUUUUAAUUUUGUUUACACUAUCCUUUCUCCUUUUUUUAGUUUACUUUAGUUUUUUCUGCCUGUUUUAAGUUUUUUUUUAUUUUUUUAACGUUUUUUUAGAAAUACUAUUCUUUUUCUUCUUUUUUAGUUUACUUUAGUUUUAUUCUGCCUGUUUGUAAGUGUUUUUUUAAGUUUUUUUUGUUUUUUUGUUAUUUAUAUAUAUAUAUGUUGUUCUUUUCUGAAAUACUUUUCCUUCUGUUUUUUAUUUUGUUUAUACUAGCCUUUCUCUUUUUUUUAGUUUUCUUUAGUUUUUUUUCUGCCUGUUUUAAUUUUUUUUUUUUUUUUUUUGUUUUUUCUAUAUAUUUAGGGUGCUUUUUUCUGAUAUACUUUUCUUUCUGUUUUUUUUUAUUUUGUUUUAACUAUCCUUUCUCUUUUGUAGUUUUCUUCAUUUUUUUCUUCAUGUUUUAAUUUUUUUUUUAGUUUUUUCUAUAUAUUUAGGGUGUUUUUUUCUGAAAUACUUUUCCUUCUGUUUUUUUUAUUUUGUUUAUACUAUCCUUUCUCUUUUUUUAAUUUUCUUUAGUUUUUUGUCUGCCUGUUUUAAGUUUUUCUUUUAGUUUUUUUAGUUAUUUUUGUAAUAUAUUAAGGGUGUUUUAUCAGAAAUACUUUUCCUUCUUUUUUUUAUUUUGUUUAUAAUAUCCUUUCUCCUUUUUUAGUUUACUUUAGAUUUUUCUGCCUGUUUUAAGUUUUUUUAAAGUUUUUUUUAGUUCUUUUUGUAAUAUAUUUAGGGUGUUUUUUCAGAAAUACUGUUCCUUCUGUUUUUUUUAGUUUUUGUCUGCCUGUUCUAAGUUUUUUUUUAGUUUUUUGAAGUUUUUUUUAGAAAUAAUAAUCUUCUUUUUAUUAUUUUUCUUUAGUUUUUUUCUGCCUGUUUUAAUUUUUCUGUUUUUUGUUUUCUUUAGUUUUUUUUCUUCAGUUUUUUUUUCCUAUUUUUUUGCCUGGCACCUCUGUCUGGAUGAGCUACUCUUAGUCUGGUCCCUCCCCCAGGACCUGUUUGCCUUGGGUAACCUUUCAGAGGCAUAAAGCCCUGACAACAUAGCUCCUGGGAUCAUUGGGACACACAAACCCCUCCACCACGGUAAGGUGGUAGCUCAAGGAGGGGAAAAAACCCUCACAUGGGAGGGAAAAACCCGAGGGUUUUUUUUUCUGUCCAAAACAACCGGUUUAGGGUGGGUUUUUGUUCUUUUUUUUCAGAAAUACUUUUCAUUUCUUUAGUUUCCUAUAGUUCUUUUUUAUUUUUCUGCCUGUUUUAAGUUUUUUUUUUCAGAAAUACUGUGAUUUUACUUUUUUUUUUACUUUUUUUUUUUUACAAAUACUAUUCUUUUUCUUUGUUUUCUUUAGUUUUUUUCUGCAUGUUUAAAGUUUUUUUUUGUUUUUUUUGUUAUUUAUAAAUAUAAAGGGUUUUCCUUUCUAAAAUACUUUUCCUUCUGUUUUUUUUAUUUUGUUUAUACUAUCCUUUCUCUUUUUUAGUUUUCUUUAGUUUUUUUCUACCUGUUUUAAGUUUUUUUUGUUUGUCUUUUUUGUUUUUUCUAUAUAUUUAGGGUCUUUUUUUCUGAAAUACUUUUCCCUCUGUUUUUUUAUUUUGUUUAUACUAUCCUGUCUAUUUUUUAGUUUUCUUUAGUUUUUUUCUGCCUGUUUUAAGUUUUUUUUUUUUUUUUUUUCUAUAUAUUUGGGGUAUUUUUUCUGAUAUACUUUUCUUUCUGUUUUUUCAAUUUUGUUUAUACUAUCCUUUCUCUUUUUUUAGUUUUCUCUAGUUUUUUUCUGCCUGUUUUAAGUUUUUUUAUUAGUUUUUUUAGUUUUUUUCUGUUAUAUAUAAUUAGGGUGGUUUUUUUUCAGAAAUUCUUUUCCUUCUGUUUUUUUAUUUUGUUUACACUAUCCUUUCUCCUCUUUUUAGUUUACUUUAGUUUUUUUCUGCCUGUUUUAAGUUUUUUUUUUAGUUUUUAAAAGUUUUUUUUAGAAAUACUAUUCUUUUUUUUCUUUUUUUAGUUUUCUUUAGUUUUAUUCUGCCUGUUGUUAAGGUUUUUUUUUAGGUUUUUUUCAGUUUUUUUGUUAUUUAUAUAUAUAUAUAGGUUGUUCUUUUCUGAAAUACUUUUCCUUCUGUUUUUUUUUUAUUUUGUUUAUACCAUCCUUUCUAUCCUUUAUUUCUUUAGUUUUUUUCUGCCUGUUUUAAGUUUUUGUUUUUUUGUUUUUUUGUUUUUUCUAUAUAUUUCGGGUGUUUUUUCUGAUAUACUUUUCUUUCUGUUUUUUCAAUUUUGUUUAUACUAUCCUUUCUCUUUUUUUAGUUUUCUCUAGUUUUUUUUCUGCCUGUUUUAAGUUUUUUUAUUAGUUUUUUUAGUUUUUUUCUGUUAUAUAUAAUUAGGGUGUUUUUUUUUCAGAAAUUCUUUUCCUUCUGUUUUUUUAUUUUGUUUACACUAUCCUUUCUCCUCUUUUUAGUUUACUUUAGUUUUUUCUGCCUGUUUUAAGUUUUUUUUUAGUUUUUUAAAGUUUUUUUUAGAAAUACUAUUCUUUUUCUUCUUUUUUUAGUUUUCUUUAGUUUUAUUCUGCCUGUUUUUAAGGGUUUUUUUUAGUUUUUUUUUCAGUUUUUUUGUUAUUUAUAUAUAUAUAUAGGUUUUUCUUUUCUGAAAUACUUUUCCUUCUGUUUUUUUUUUUUAUUUUGUUUAUACCAUCCUUUCUAUCCUUUAUCCUAUCCUUUCUUUUAGUUUUUUUAGUUCUUUUUGUUAUAUAUAUUUAGGGUGUUUUUUUUCAGAAAUACUUUUCCUUCUGUUUUUUUAAUUUUGUUUACACUAUCCUUUCUCCUUUUUUUAGUUUACUUUAGUUUUUUCUGCCUGUUUUAAGUUUUUUUUAUUUUUUUAACGUUUUUUUAGAAAUACUAUUCUUUUUCUUCUUUUUUAGUUUUCUUUAGUUUUAUUCUGCCUGUUUUUAAGUUUUUUUUAAGUUUUUUUUUGUUAUUUAUAUAUAUAUAUAUAUAGGUUGUUCUUUUCUGAAAUACUUUUCCUUCUGUUUUUUAUUUUGUUUAUACUAUCCUUUCUCUUUUUUUUAGUUUUCUUUAGUUUUUUUUCUGCCUGUUUUAAUUUUUUUUUGUUUUUUUUUUGUUUUUUCUAUAUAUUUAGGGUGUUUUUUUCUGAUAUACUUUUCUUUCUGUUUUUUUUUAUUUUGUUUUAACUAUCCUUUCUCUUUUGUAGUUUUCUUCAUUUUUUUCUUCAUGUUUUAAUUUUUUUUUUAGUUUUUUCUAUAUAUUUAGGGUGUUUUUUUCUGAAAUACUUUUCCUUCUGUUUUUUUUAUUUUGUUUAUACUUUCCUUUCUCUUUUUUUAAUUUUCUUUAGUUUUUUGUCUGCCUGUUUUAAGUUUUUCUUUUAGUUUUUUUAGUUAUUUUUGUAAUAUAUUAAGGGUGUUUUAUCAGAAAUACUUUUCCUUCUUUUUUUUAUUUUGUUUAUAAUAUCCUUUCUCCUUUUUUAGUUUACUUUAGAUUUUUCUGCCUGUUUUAAGUUUUUUAAAAGUUUUUUUUAGUUCUUUUUGUAAUAUAUUUAGGGUGUUUUUUCAGAAAUACUUUUCCUUCUGUUUUUUAAUUUUGUUUAUACUAUUUUUAGUUUUCUUUAGUUUUUUUCUGCCUGUUUAAAGUUUUUUUUUUGUUUUUUUUUAGUUUUUUUUUAUUUAUAAAUAUAUUUAGGGUGUUUUUUUCAGAUAUACUUUUCCUUCUGUUUUUUUAUUUUGUUUAUACCAUCCUUUCUAUUUUUUAGUUUUCUUUAGUUUUUUUCUGCCUGUUUUAAGUUUUGUUUUGUUUUUUUAGUUUUUUUUUGUUUUUUCUAUAUAUUUAGGGUGUUUUUUCUGAAAUACUUUUCCUUCUGUUUUUUUUUAUUUUGUUUACACUAUCCUUUCUCCUUUUUUAGUUUACUUUAGUUUUUUUCUGCCUGUUAAGUUUUUUUUUAGAUUUUUUUUAGUUUUUUAAAGUUUUUUUUAGAAAUACUAUUCUUUUUCUUCUUUUUUUAGUUUUCUUUAGUUUUUUUCUGCCUGUUUUAAGUUUUUUUUAGUUUUUUGUUAUUUAUAUAUAUUAAGGGUGUUCUUUUCUGAAAUACUUUUCCUUAUGUUUUUUAUUUUGUUUAUACUAUCCUUUCUCUUUUUUUAGUUUUCUUUAGUUUUUUUUCUGCCUGUUUUAAUUUUUUUUUGUUUUUUUUUUCUUUUUUUCUAUAUAUUUAGGGUGUUUUUUUCUGAUAUACUUUUCUUUCUGUUUUUUUUUAUUUUGUUUUAACUAUCCUUUCUCUUUUGUAGUUUUCUUCAUUUUUUUCUUCAUGUUUUAAUUUUUUUUUUUAGUUUUUUCUAUAUAUUUAGGGUGUUUUUUUCUGAAAUACUUUUCCUUCUGUUUUUUUAUUUUGUUUAUACUAUCCUUUCUCUUUUUUUAAUUUUCUUUAGUGUUUUGUCUGCCUGUUUUAAGUUUUUCUUUUAGUUUUUUAGUUCUUUUUGUAAUAUAUUAAGGGUGUUUUAUCAGAAAUACUUUUCCUUCUUUUUUUUUAUUUUGUUUAUAAUAUCCUUUCUCCUUUUUUUGUUUACUUUAGAUUUUUCUGCCUGUUUUAAGUUUUUUUUAAAGUUUUUUUUAGUUCUUUUUGUAAUAUAUUUAGGGUGUUUUUUCAGAAAUACUUUUCCUUCUGUUUUUUAAUUUUGUUUAUACUAUUUUUAGUUUUCUUUAGUUUUUUUCUGCCUGUUUAAAGUUUUUUUUUUAGUUUUUUUUUAGUUUUUUUUAUUUAUAAAUAUAUUUAGGGUGUGUUUUUCCGAUAUACUUUUCCUUCUGUUUUUUUAUUUUGUUUAUACCAUCCUUUCUAUUUUUUAGUUUUCUUUAGUUUUUUUCUGCCUGUUUUAAGUUUUGUUUUGUUUUUUUAGUUUUUUUUGUUUUUUCUAUAUAUUUAGGGUCUUUUUUUCUGAAAUACUUUUCCCUCUGUUUUUUUAUUUUGUUUAUACUAUCCUUUCUAUUUUUUAGUUUUCUUUAGUUUUUUUCUGCCUGUUUUAAGUUUUUUUUUUUUUUUUUUCUAUAUAUUUGGGGUAUUUUUUCUGAUAUACUUUUCUUUCUGUUUUUUCAAUUUUGUUUAUACUAUCCUUUCUCUUUUUUUAGUUUUCUCUAGUUUUUUUCUGCCUGUUUUAAGUUUUUUUAUUAGUUUUUUUUUAGUUUUUUUUAUUUAUAAAUAUAUUUAGGGUGUGUUUUUCAGAUAUACUUUUCCUUCUGUUUUUUUAUUUUGUUUAUACCAUCCUUUCAAUUUUUUAGUUUUCUUUAGUUUUUUUCUGCCUGUUUUAAGUUUUGUUUUGUUUUUUUAGUUUUUUUUGUUUUUUCUAUAUAUUUAGGGUGUUUUUUCUGAAAUACUUUUCCUUCUGUUUUUUUUAUUUUGUUUACACUAUCCUUUCUCCUUUUUUAGUUUACUUUAGUUUUUUUCUGCCUGUUAAGUUUUUUUUUAGAUUUUUUUUUAGUUUUUUAAAGUUUUUUUAGAAAUACUAUUCUUUUUCUUCUUUUUUUAGUUUUCUUUAGUUUUUGUCUGCCUGUUUUAAGUUUUUUUUAGUUUUUUGUUAUUUAUAUAUAUUAAGGGUGUUCUUUUCUGAAAUACUUUUCCUUCUGUUUUUUUUAUUUUGUUUAUACUAUCCUUUCUCUUUUUUAGUUUUCUUUAGUUUUUGUCUGCCUGUUCUAAGUUUUUUUUUCAGUUUUUUGAAGUUUUUUUGGAAAUACUAAUCUUCUUUUUAUUAGUUUUCUUUAGUUUUUUUCUGCCUGUUUUAAUUUUUCUAUUUUUUGUUUUCUUUAGUUUUUUUUUUCUUCAGUUUUUUUCCCUAUUUUUUUCCCUGGCACCUCUGUCUGGAUGAGCUACUCUUAGUCUGGUCCCUACCCCAGGACCUGCUGCCUUGGGUAACCUUUCAGAGGCAUAAAGCCCUGACAACAUAGCUCCUGGGAUCAUUGGGACACACAAACCCCUCCACCACGGUAAGGUGGUAGCUCAAGGAGGGGAAAAAACCCUCACAUGGGAGGGAAAAACCGCAAGGGUUUUUUUUUCUGUCCAAAACACCCGGUUUAGGGUGGGUUUUUGUUCCUUUUUUUCAGAAAUACUUUUCUUUUCUUUAGUUUCCUAUAGUUCUUUUUUAUUUUUCUGCCUGUUUUAAGUUUUUUUUUUCAGAAAUACUGUGAUUUUACUUUUUUUUUUUUUUUUUACAAAUACUAUUCUUUUUCUUUGUUUUCUUUAGUUUUUUUCUGCAUGUUUAAAGUUUUUUUUUAGUUUUUUUGUUAUUUAUAAAUAUAAAGGGUUUCCCUUUCUAAAAUACUUUUCCUUCUGUUUUUUUUAUUUUGUUUAUACUAUCCUUUCUCUUUUUUAGUUUUCUUUAGUUUUUUUCUACCUGUUUUAAUUUUUUUUUGUUUUUGUUUUUUCUAUAUAUUUAGGGUCUUUUUUUCUGAAAUACUUUUCCCUCUGUUUUUUUAUUUUGUUUAUACUAUCCUUUCUCUUUUUUAGUUUUCUUUAGUUUUUUUCUGCCUGUUUUAAGUUUUUUUGUUGUUUUUUUUUGUUUUUUCUAUAUAUUUGGGGUGUUUUUUCUGAUAUACUUUUCUUUCUGUUUUUUCAAUUUUGUUUAUACUAUCCUUUCUCUUUUUUUAGUUUUCUCUAGUUUUUUUUCUGCCUGUUUUAAGUUUUUUUAUUAGUUUUUUUAGUUUUUUUCUGUUAUAUAUAAUUAGGGUGUUUUUUUUCAGAAAUUCUUUUCCUUCUGUUUUUUUAUUUUGUUUACACUAUCCUUUCUCCUCUUUUUAGUUUUCUUUAGUUUUAUUCUGCCUGUUUGUAAGUGUUUUUUUAAGUUUUUUUUUGUUUUUUUGUUAUUUAUAUAUAUAUAUAGGUUGUUCUUUUCUGAAAUACUUUUCCUACUGUUUUUUAUUUUGUUUAUACUAUCCUUUCUCUUUUUUUUAGUUUUCUUUAGUUUUUUUUCUGCCUGUUUUAAUUUUUUUUUGUUUUUUUUGUUUUUUCUAUAUAUUUAGGGUGUUUUUUCUGAAAUACUUUUCCUUCUGUUUUUUUAAUUAUGUUUACACUAUCCUUUCUCCUUUUUUAGUUUACUUUAGUUUUUUUCUGCCUUUUGUAAGUUUUUUUUAGAUUUUUUUUAGUUUUUUAAAGUUUUUUUUAGAAAUACUAUUCUUUUUCUUCUUUUUUUAGUUUUCUUUAGUUUUUUUCUGCCUGUUUUAAGGUUGUUUUUUAGGUUUUUUUUUCUUGUUGUUAUUUAUAUAUAUUAAGGGUGUUCUUUUCUGAAAUACUUUUCCUUCUGUUUUUUUUAUUUUGUUCAUACUAUCCUUUCUCUUUUUUAGUUUUCUUUAGUUUUUGUCUGACAGUUCUAAGUUUUUUUUUUUAGUUUUUUGAAGUUUUUUUGGAAAUACUAAUCUUCUUUUUAUUAGUUUUCUUUAGUUUUUUUCUGCCUGUUUUAAUUUUUCUAUUUUUUGUUUUCUUUAGUUUUUUUUUUCUUCAGUUUUUUUCCCUAUUUUUUUCCCUGGCACCUCUGUCUGGAUGAGCUACUCUUAGUCUGGUCCCUCCCCCAGGACCUGCUGCCUUGGGUAACCUUUCAGAGGCAUAAAGCCCUGACAACAUAGCUCCUGGGAUCAUUGGGACACACAAACCCCUCCACCACGGUAAGG
This 25111-nucleotide long non-coding RNA is filed under the name Xyrichtys novacula (pearly razorfish). The record is from RNAcentral. Lineage: Eukaryota; Metazoa; Chordata; Actinopteri; Labriformes; Labridae.